Molecule: ribosomal RNA, 372 nt
Filed under: uncultured organism
Description: partial 16S ribosomal RNA
Rfam family: Bacterial small subunit ribosomal RNA
Source: RNAcentral
AGAGGGUGCAAGCGUUAAUCGGAAUAAUUGGGGCGUAAAGGGGUGCGUAGGCGGUUAUAUGUGUCUUGUGUGAAAGUCUAUGGGCUCAACCAUAGAAUGCCACAAGAAACUGUAUAACUAGAGUACUGUAGAGGAUGGUGGAAUUUCUGGUGUAGCGGUGAAAUGCGUAGAUAUCAGAAGGAACAUCAGUGGCGAAGGCGACCAUCUGGCCAGAUACUGACGCUGAGGCACGAAAGCGUGGGUAGCGAACAGGAUUAGAUACCCUGGUAGUCCACGCCGUAAACGAUGAGUAUUAGCUGUUAAUAUCGAAAGGUAAUAGUGGCGAAGCAAACGCGCUAAAUACUCCGCCUGGGGAGUACGGCCGCAAGGUUA